RNAcentral lists this ribosomal RNA (400 nucleotides) under phytoplankton environmental sample. RNAcentral's name for it is "partial small subunit ribosomal RNA". It matches the Rfam family "Eukaryotic small subunit ribosomal RNA", at positions 587 to 985 of the family's 1831-position model. The record is from RNAcentral.
AGCUCCAGUAGCGUAUAUAAAAGUUGUUGCAGUUGAAAAGCUCGUAGUUGGAUUUCUGGCUCGGAACGGCUGGUCCGCCGUAUAUGCGGUGCGUACCGGUUCGAUCCAGCCAUCCUUCCAAGGACCUCUCCUGCCCUUCAUUGGGUCGGGUGCAGGCACUUGGAUCGAUUACUUUGAAAAAAUUAGAGUGUUCAAAGCAGGCGUUUGUCUUGAAUACAUUAGCAUGGAAUAAUGACAUAGGACUUUGGUUCUAUUUUGUUGGUUUCUAGGACUGAAGUAAUGAUUAAGAGGGACAAUUGGGGGCAUCCGUAUUUCGUUGUCAGAGGUGAAAUUCUUGGAUUUACGAAAGACGAACAACUGCGAAAGCAUUUGCCAACAGUGUUUUCAUUAAUCAAGAACG